GACGAACGCUGGCGGCGUGCUUAACACAUGCAAGUCGAACGGAAAGGCCCUUCGGGGUCCUCGAGUGGCGAACGGGUGAGUAACACGUGGGUGAUCUGCCCUGCACUUUGGGAUAAGCCUGGGAAACUGGGUCUAAUACCGGAUAGGACCACGGCAUUCAUGUGCUGUGGUGGAAAGCUUUUGCGGUGUGGGAUGGGCCCGCGGCCUAUCAGCUUGUUGGUGGGGUAAUGGCCUACCAAGGCGACGACGGGUAGCCGGCCUGAGAGGGUGACCGGCCACACUGGGACUGAGAUACGGCCCAGACUCCUACGGGAGGCAGCAGUGGGGAAUAUUGCACAAUGGGCGCAAGCCUGAUGCAGCGACGCCGCGUGAGGGAUGACGGCCUUCGGGUUGUAAACCUCUUUCGCCAGGGACGAAGCGCAAGUGACGGUACCUGGAGAAGAAGGACCGGCCAACUACGUG
RNAcentral lists this ribosomal RNA (462 nucleotides) under uncultured bacterium. RNAcentral describes it as "partial 16S ribosomal RNA". It matches the Rfam family "Bacterial small subunit ribosomal RNA", at positions 28 to 507 of the family's 1533-position model. The record is from RNAcentral.